This 344-nucleotide long non-coding RNA is filed under the name Coffea arabica (coffee). RNAcentral describes it as "long non-coding RNA (CARA_LNC006995)". The record is from RNAcentral. Lineage: Eukaryota; Viridiplantae; Streptophyta; Magnoliopsida; Gentianales; Rubiaceae.
AGAUGCUGCUAUCCAGGAGAGGAAUUUGGCUCUUUCUGAGAAGAAGGCUGCUUUGGCAGAACGAGACAUGGCUAUCCUGCAGAGGGAUUCAGCAAUAGCUGAAAGAAAUAAUGCCAUUAUGGAACGCGAUAAUGCAAUUGCCACUCUUCAGUAUCGCGAAAACUCUAUAAAUAGUGGUAAUAUGUCUCCCUGCCCACCAGGAUGCCAAAUUACACGUGGUGUGAAGCAUAUGCACCAUCCUCAGCAGCACGUACACCACCAGCCCCAAGUAAAUGAACCUCCAUAUGGUAGCAGAGAUAUGCCCAUAAGUGAUGCUAUUCCAAUAUCACCUGGUUUGCUGGAGC